Molecule: ribosomal RNA, 492 nt
Filed under: uncultured bacterium
Lineage: Bacteria
Description: partial 16S ribosomal RNA
Rfam family: Bacterial small subunit ribosomal RNA
Source: RNAcentral
AGUGAACGCUGGCGGUAGGCCUAACACAUGCAAGUCGAACGGCAGCACAGUAAGAGCUUGCUCUUACGGGUGGCGAGUGGCGGACGGGUGAGGAAUACAUCGGAAUCUACUUUUUCGUGGGGGAUAACGUAGGGAAACUUACGCUAAUACCGCAUACGACCUACGGGUGAAAGCAGGGGAUCUUCGGACCUUGCGCGAUUGAAUGAGCCGAUGUCGGAUUAGCUAGUUGGCGGGGUAAAGGCCCACCAAGGCGACGAUCCGUAGCUGGUCUGAGAGGAUGGUAGGCCACACUGGAACUGAGACACGGUCCAGACUCCUACGGGAGGCAGCAGUGGGGAAUAUUGGACAAUGGGCGCAAGCCUGAUCCAGCCAUACCGCGUGGGUGAAGAAGGCCUUCGGGUUGUAAAGCCCUUUUGUUGGGAAAGAACAGCAGCAGGUUAAUACCCCGCUGUUCUGACGGUACCCAAAGAAUAAGCACCGGCUAACUUCGUG